Long non-coding RNA from Balaenoptera ricei (Rice's whale), 388 nucleotides. RefSeq lists it as uncharacterized. NCBI's taxonomy places the organism in Eukaryota, Metazoa, Chordata, Mammalia, Artiodactyla, Balaenopteridae. The record is from RefSeq and is a predicted model, not a curated record. The transcript has 3 exons.
AAGGAUAAAUGCCCCACUUUUAAAGGGACACAUCUAGUGCUGAGAAUCUGGCAGGGGGUGAUGAGGAAGACAAAACGGGGAGGCCACGCGGAGCAUGAGAACCUUCAAGAUACGCCAGAGAGCAUUUAACCAGUCUUUUCUGGACCAUGUAUUGAGUGCUUACGAUGUGCCGGACCCCGUGAUGGGUGCUGAAUGCAGCGUAGACCCCGUCCUCAGGGAGCUCAAAUGGGAGAAAAUAGACAGAAUGAAGCCGCCAUGAGAUAGUGACUUUAUUUUCUUCACUGCUAUGUCCCCAGCACCUAAAACAUUGCCAGGUGCAUACGAAGCACUUGAUACAUGUUUGUUGACUGAAUAGAUGAAUUGGUAAUUGUGACUGAUGCCAAAUGGA